Molecule: ribosomal RNA, 552 nt
Filed under: uncultured bacterium
Lineage: Bacteria
Description: bacterial SSU rRNA
Rfam family: Bacterial small subunit ribosomal RNA
Source: RNAcentral
GCACAAGCGGUGGAUGAUGUGGUUUAAUUCGAUGCAACGCGAAAAACCUUACCUACCCUUGACAUGCUAGGAAUCUUGCAGAGAUGUGAGAGUGCUCGAAAGAGAACCUAGACACAGGUGCUGCAUGGCCGUCGUCAGCUCGUGUCGUGAGAUGUUGGGUUAAGUCCCGCAACGAGCGCAACCCUUGUCAUUAGUUGCUACGAAAGGGCACUCUAAUGAGACUGCCGGUGACAAACCGGAGGAAGGUGGGGAUGACGUCAGGUCCUCAUGGCCCUUAUGGGUAGGGCUACACACGUCAUACAAUGGCCGGUACAGAGGGUUGCCAACCCGCGAGGGGGAGCUAAUCCCAGAAAACCGGUCGUAGUCCGGAUCGUAGUCUGCAACUCGACUGCGUGAAGUCGGAAUCGCUAGUAAUCGCGGAUCAGCUUGCCGCGGUGAAUACGUUCCCGGGUCUUGUACACACCGCCCGUCACACCAUGGGAGCGGGUUCUGCCAGAAGUAGUUAGCCUAACCGCAAGGAGGGCGAUUACCACGGCAGGGUUCGUGACUGGG